This 1733-nucleotide long non-coding RNA is filed under the name Gallus gallus (chicken). Its description in RNAcentral is "lncRNA (ENSGALG00010023932.1)". The record is from RNAcentral. Lineage: Eukaryota; Metazoa; Chordata; Aves; Galliformes; Phasianidae.
CUCCCAGCAUGAAAGGAGGACUAUCCUCUUGCAGAGAGGUCUCAGAUGGGGGCAAUUUCUUAAGUGCAUGAAGGCAUUGGACAAGGUUGUCCCUUCAGUGCAGACUGGGGACAAAUAGGAAACACUGUCAGGAAGAGAGGGUAGACACAGACGUCCUCCACGGCAUCAGCAGGAGACUUCCUUCCAGUGUGCAAAGAGCUCAGCAGGGAAUAACUCUCCAGAAUGGGGCAGGUGGGGAUUCCUGAAGUGCAGAAGUGCCCUGCCAUGUUCCCUGUCCCUAUCCCACCUGUCCAUUGUUGACAGCUGCAUGCCGUGCUGAGCAAGUGAACACCACCAGGGUAAGAAACUUGUUGAGCUCUGCCACCGUCUUCAGCAAGGAGGGGAUGCCUGAAGGGCGGGGGGCAAAGAGCCAUCAGGGCCCCAUCCAAGGCACUCCCCUGGCCUUGAGGAUACCUAGGAGCCUCAUGGAGCCCACUGGGCUACGGAGUGGUACCUGAGGACGUCUGCACCAGGAAGUCAUUGGUGAAGAUAUCCAUCACCCAAGCCUGCAACUCCGCAUCACCUUGCACCGCUGCGUUGUCUGUAUAGUAGAAAGCCACCAUCCCAGAGACAAACCUGUCACGGGAAGAGGGACAGCGAGGCUGCAGGAUGUCCCCGGAGCCAUCAGUGACUGUCACCGAGUCUUCCACUCCACCUCUUGAUGUCCUCCCAGGGGCUCAUCCCAUCAUCCCGCUAGUGGUAGUUGGGGAAGAGAGACACCAUGGGCUCGUAUAUCUUCAGGGAGGCAGAGUGAUGUGUAGGUAACUUUCUCCAAGCCCCGCUGAAGAAUCAGCAGCAGCCCCUCAAGGGUAAGCCCUGAGCCCUAGUGAGGAGAAGACACCACUGAGUGCUCACCAGCAGGGGGUCAGGCAGAAGGUGUCACGUGAUAUGAUCAGUCCCCACUGAUGUCCCCGGGGCUCACCUUGUCAGUGACACCACCAGGGUUAAUGAGGAUGGUCCGGGACAGCGUGUUGAUGUGCAGCAUGAAGCAGAAGUGUAGGAUAAGAAGCUGGAGAGAGGGGAAUGGGUCACCCUGACCAGAGGGCACCAGGGGGACUUGGAACCCUGGGCCAGGUGCAGAGCCAGCAGUGCCACAUGGGAUCAACUGCUGCGAAUGAUGAAGCCUAAAGAGGACUUGGCCACAGCAAAAAGAAAGAGGGAAAAUGACUGUCCUGGAGGUCAGCACUGGCAUGUGGGGUCAGCAGGGCUCGGCCUGGGGCAGUUUGAGAAAGGAAGAGGGUGUGGAGGGCUUGGAAGGACCAGCAGUUUCCCAGGAAGUCGGAGAUGGUUGGGUGUGUGACAACUGCUGUGGUGAGAUCAGCUACAGGACUGGGCUGAUGGGCGAGCUGGUGGCCUCAAAAGACUUCCCAGAUGUCUACCUUGAAGAGUGGGUGACAGAACUCCUCCAGUGGUGCUGGAGGAGUUUCAGGUACGACAUUAAGAGAAGGCGCCAGGCAGACCUUGUAACGGCCUUCCAGAACCUGAAGGCUGGGGAGGGACUUUCCAUAAGGGCGUGUGGCGACAAAGACAAGGGGAAAUGGCUUUAAACUGGAAGUGAUUAGAUUUAGGCUAGAUAGUAGAAAGGGAUUUGUUACUGUGUGGAUGGUGAGAUACUGGCACCCAUGUCAUACUGUGGGCAAAGUUUGCAGUCAACAGAGGGGAUGGGUAGGGCCAUCCAUUUGGCGUGGGGACAG